CCUCAGUGGAAUCCUAAGGUUAAUAAGACUGUCUCUAGCCACUGGGGCUCCCAGCCUGGAGUGAGGCCUGAACACCCUGUCCUACCUGGUCCUACCUGGAUGCUGGCCUCAGUAAGCUCCUGGGCUCAUUGAAGAUGAACCUAGCAGUAGUAUUUACACCACUUGUUGUGUGCCCACUGUGGGCCCGGCGCCAUGCCGAGUGCUCUAUGGAUGUGAGAUGAGAACACUGAAGCAGUUUUUUCUAAAGAUAGCUGCCUGGCACAGUGGCUCACAUCUGUAGUCCCAGCAUUUGGGGAGGCCAAGGCAGGUGGAUCACUUGAGGCCAGGAAUUCAAGACCAGCAUGGCCAACAUGCGGGGGAAGACUGGCAGGCUCCUAUAUCCUCGAAGUAUCCUGCCAUGAGAUGCCUGCAGAGUGGGGAAUGGCAUCACCUUUCCAACCCUGUGCAGCACCCAGUGCGAGCUGCUUAUUAGUGGGAACUGGAGAGGAAGAGGAGGAAAAGGAGGACCCAUGGCCAUGGCUUUUUCUGUCCUUGUAACCCUCAACUGAUAUGUAUCCCAUACUUCUUGGUUGGGCAGAGGGGAGAGCAGAGGUUGACAGGUCACAUUUCCCUCAGUUUUCCAUCCUUCCUUCAGUGCUGGGAGAGAAAAGCAUACGACAUAGACAGGGAGGUCAAGCUCCACCACGCAGAUGAGGUGCAGGCCACCAGUCUUCCUCUGCCACAUCUCUUUCUGAAAAGGCAGCCUGUGCUGAGAAACCAUGACUGAGUAAGCCAAGCUUUGUUGGCCGCACCUGCCAAGCCACAGGGUGCCUCAGGCUUGGAGCAUCCCGGAGCCAGUUACAACCCAAGACUUCAGCCUUCUGGAAGGUGUUGGGUCAGCCACCCUGAAGGACGAUCCUGCCCAAGUGACAUGCUUUGCUCUUCCUUCUCACCCAGGACUUCACAUUCACCCUUGCAAUCCAUGUGGGGACACUGUUGGAUAGGAGGCGUGGUCCCAGCGUGGUCUCCCUGUCUGGGCCUCUGCCUAUGCCAAAUGUUUGCCUUACGCUGCACACUCAAGAGGUUCCAUGUAUACAGAUGGGAAUUCCAGAGCUACAGAAAAGGCAGCAAGCACCAUGAUUUAAGCUAACCAGUGUGGAUUCACACCUUCCUCUCUCUCUAUCAGUGGCAGAACUACCAGCUAGAGUAAGAAGUGGUUGAUCCAGGACCUAAACAUUCUGGAAACUCUUGCCCACUUCUGGGAGAAAUGACCCAAUCCAUAGUACUAAGCACACCUUAACUUUCGUAGGACGCAGGCAAGUUGUCAUACCGUGUGCCUAAAUAUAGAAAAAUGAUCCACUGGACUAAUAAAGUGUUAAAUAAAAU
RNAcentral lists this long non-coding RNA (1365 nucleotides) under Homo sapiens (human). RNAcentral's name for it is "long intergenic non-protein coding RNA 2395". The record is from RNAcentral. Lineage: Eukaryota; Metazoa; Chordata; Mammalia; Primates; Hominidae.